GAAAGCCUGAUGCAGCAACGCCGCGUGAGUGAUGAAGGCUUUCGAGUCGUAAAGCUCUUUGAUCAGGGAUGAUAAUGACAGUACCUGAAAAACAAGCCACGGCUAACUACGUGCCAGCAGCCGCGGUAAUACGUAGGUGGCGAGCGUUGUCCGGAAUUACUGGGCGUAAAGGAUGCGUAGGUGGAUAUUUAAGUGGGAUGUGAAAUCCCCGGGCUCAACCCGGGAACUGCAUUCCAAACUGGAUGUCUAGAGUGCAGGAGAGGAAAGCGGAAUUCCUAGUGUAGCGGUGAAAUGCGUAGAUAUUAGGAGGAACACCAGUGGCGAAGGCGGCUUUCUGGACUGUAACUGACACUGAGGCAUGAAAGCGUGGGUAGCAAACAGGAUUAGAUACCCUGGUAGUCC
RNAcentral lists this ribosomal RNA (402 nucleotides) under uncultured bacterium. RNAcentral describes it as "bacterial SSU rRNA". It matches the Rfam family "Bacterial small subunit ribosomal RNA", at positions 377 to 796 of the family's 1533-position model. The record is from RNAcentral.